Molecule: long non-coding RNA, 1047 nt
Filed under: Marmota monax (woodchuck)
Lineage: Eukaryota; Metazoa; Chordata; Mammalia; Rodentia; Sciuridae
Source: RNAcentral
CAGGGUGCAUCCUGAGAAUGAUGAUCCAGAAGUCAUUCUCCCCUGGUGGGCACCAUGGCCAGGUUUCUGGAUAGCAGCUUAGCAAUUCUAGUGAAAUCUCAAUGCUAUCUGGUAUGGUUUUCUUAGUAGUUAGGGUGGGCUUCUGCUACAGAACUAGUUCAUUAAGUCUUUGUGCCUCAUCUGUGAAAUUAUGUGAAAUAAUUAAUUUUUCUUUACUAAGAAAGCAUUGCAGGUAUGGUGUUUGAUAUCUAGUUUUGUAAAUACAUAAUUCUAAGUCUUCCUGUGCUGAUAUUUACACUAUUAUAUGUCUUUGUUGACUCAAAUCGAGAACAAGUGUAUAAAAAUCACAUUAGAAAGUGUAUGAAACAUGAAAGUUUUGAACAAGCCUGGAGAAAGUCAUUUAGGUAUGGAAGGUUUAACAAUACAGGACCAAUCCACGUCUCUUCUUUUCUUCAUGGAAUCUGGGGAAAAAGAUUUCAUGACUUUCGCAAGGAAAAAAAAAAAACACAUCCUAAUUAUUUUAGUGUUUCAAUAUCUAUUCUCUCUUUGACACUUCAAAAGAUUGCUUUGAGCAAAGCAAGAAAUUCUAUAAUUCUGUUUUUUUUCUAAUUAUGUGUGAAAGUUUUAUUUUGCAAGAGAAUUAUUUCUGGAAACCAAGAACGUUUUGUUGUUUUUAAUUAAACAGGUUCUCCAUUUACUUAUGUUUAAAGAUAAUUGCCCAUCCAACUCUUCCCUAAGUUAUUUGCCUGUGAUUUAUUACUGAAUAUGAUUCUGUAUUUUUUCUAGCCAUUUCAUAAAAACAGAAGACAUGAAGUAUUUAGAGCUCCUUCCCAAUAGUUAGUGGAUUUUUAAUUGACAGCUUUAUUAAUACUGUAAUCCAGCACCACACCACCACCAAAAAAACUGCCACAAGUAGGGUUGAGGGUAAAAUGUGAACAUGCUGGCUAAGUGUUUGUAAUAAAUCAUAUGUCAGCCCUUUCAACUAGAGUGCUUUUUCCUAAGUAAACAAUGUAAUUUGUACAGUUUUCCUUCAAGUUUAAUAUUAAC